AUGUAUACAAGUAUCGAGGAAGCUAAUAACCAUUACAGUAAUUACGUAUUAAAUAAUUUAGUAGCCGAACAAUCAAACCCAGUGUGUUUGAUAAAUGCGGAUUGCACGAACAAAAUAAAAGGAACUUCAUGCAACCGCGAUUAUUGUAGUAGUAGUAACUUAAAUACUACGAACAUAUAUAAUACUGUUAUGUGUAACAAACCAAUGGAUAUAAAAUAUAAUAAUACUAAUAAUAAUAAUAAUAAUAGUAAUAUUAAUAUUAAUAAUAAUAAUAAUAGUAAUAAUAAUAAUAAUAAUAAUAAUAAAAGUAAUAAUAAUAAUAAUAAUCACGAUGUAAAUAUGUGCAAUAAUUCCGUAUUUGUUAUUAAUAAGUAUAAUUUAAACAACAAAAAUUUAAAUAAUAAUAGUAACGAAUACAUAAACAUAAAUACUCCAGUGUGUAAUAAAAAUCCUAUGCAAAAUAUGUACAUCAUAAACAACCAUAUGUCAACUUGUUGUCACAAUUUAAAUAACAUGACAUACUGUAACGGAUAUACCACAAUAAAUGAUAAUAGCAAACUGAGCCAAAGCCAAUAUUUAAACAUAAAGAAAAGUAAACUGAUCAACAAUUUAAAUUUUUUUAUGCGAGUCUGUUGUAAUAAAAAAUCGUACAUAAACUUCAUUAAUCAUUAUUUUAACAUAAUAUACAGUAAAGAUAUUAAUAUAUUAUUUAAGUAUGAAUGCAUUUUGCAAAAAUUUGUGUUUGAAAAUGAACAGAAUUUAACAGAAACUGAUUAUUAUGAUGCAUAUGUUAAAUUAAACAAAAUCCCCAUUUUGAUAAAAGAUAACAGCUCAUUUAAUAAUAUGACAUUUGAUAUAAAUAAUGAUAACGUUGAUAAUAAUAAUGAAAAUAAUAAUAUGUACUUAAUGAAUAAUAAUAGUAACUUAAAAAGUAAUGUAUUAAGAUUUAUACAAGUAUAUGACAGUUUAACUGCUAAUUUUUUUAAAUAUAUAUUCACAAAAAUAAAUAAUGAGGAGAUAAAUAUACAUAGUUUUAAUGUUGAUAAUAUAAUACAUAAUUUUUUAAAUAAAAAAAAUUUAUUAAAAGAAAAUGUUUUUAAUUUAUUAUUAAAUAUAAAUAAAACUUAUCAAAUAAAAUACAAUUCAGUUAUUGGGGAUAUAUUAAAUGAAGAAUAUAUAAAAGAAAAAAAUGAAAAAAUAAUUUUUGAGAUGUUAAAAAAUAAAGUAGAACGUAUGUCCAAUUCAUUAAAUAAGGAAAACGAAUUUAAUAUGUUUAAUGAGGAUAAUAAUAAUGAUAUUAGCAAUGACAGUAGUAAUGACAGUAGUAAUGACAGUAGUAAUGACAGUAGUAAUGGCAGUAGUAAUGAUAGUAGUAAUAAUAGUAGUAAUAAUAGUAAUAAUCUUAGUAACAAUUUUAGUAAUAAUCUUAGUAA
Molecule: long non-coding RNA, 1433 nt
Filed under: Piliocolobus tephrosceles (Ugandan red Colobus)
Lineage: Eukaryota; Metazoa; Chordata; Mammalia; Primates; Cercopithecidae
Description: lncRNA (ENSPTEG00000000339.1)
Source: RNAcentral